AGUGAACGCUGGCGGUAGGCCUAACACAUGCAAGUCGAACGGCAGCACAGUAAGAGCUUGCUCUUACGGGUGGCGAGUGGCGGACGGGUGAUGAAUACAUCGGAAUCUACUUUUUCGUGGGGGAUAACGUAGGGAAACUUACGCUAAUACCGCAUACGACCUACGGGUGAAAGCAUGGGAUCUUCGGACCUCGCGCGAUUGAAUGAGCCGAUGUCGGAUUAGCUAGUUGGCGGGGUAAAGGCCCACCAAGGCGACGAUCCGUAGCUGGUCUGAGAGGAUGAUCAGCCACACUGGAACUGAGACACGGUCCAGACUCCUACGGGAGGCAGCAGUGGGGAAUAUUGGACAAUGGGCGAAAGCCUGAUCCAGCCAUGCCGCGUGUGUGAAGAAGGCCUUCGGGUUGUAAAGCCCUUUUGUUGGGAAAGAAGAGCAGCAGGUUAAUACCCCGCUGUUCUGACGGUACCCAAAGAAUAAGCACCGGCUAACUUCGUG
RNAcentral lists this ribosomal RNA (492 nucleotides) under uncultured bacterium. RNAcentral describes it as "partial 16S ribosomal RNA". It matches the Rfam family "Bacterial small subunit ribosomal RNA", at positions 29 to 507 of the family's 1533-position model. The record is from RNAcentral.